GUUUGUAUAUCAUGUUCCUACUUGAUCAAAUAAACAGGCAUACGAGAAAUGUUUUCAAAAUCUUCACUACGUGGAGCGUCAUGAAGAACAUACAAUUGCACACGCUGUGCAAACUUCAUAUAAGAAAACUAAGGUGUAUCUCUGGCCUGCUCCUACUCGAACAGGUAUGAAAGCAGGAAGAACUGUUGAAAACAUUUUGUAUUUAGCCGGUUUCAAGAAUGUCAAAUCCAAGGUGGUUGGCUCAAGGAAUCCUCAUAACACAGUUAAAGCCGUUUUAAAAGCUCUGAAUGCUAUUGAAACACCGAAAGAUGUUCAGGAGAAGUUUGGCCGGACUGUCGUUGAGAAGUACUUGCUUUGAUUGGGUAUUUCACGUGCUCAUUAGCAAUUUUUUUCUUUAUUCAUUUUCUUGGAUUUUCACUUCCAAGCAAAAGAAAUUAUAAUCCAUCACACUAUUUUAGUCUUUUUCUAUCAUCUGUUAUGUGGCAUAAUAUGGUACACGGACAGUACUAUUAACACCGGACAAGCGAGGGUUUUUUAUGGGCGCUUUCGGGAUGAUAUCCAUGUUCUGUUCUUAGAGAUGAAUGGAUGGGAGGUUUUUUAAGAUUUUGUAGAUUAGAAUCCUUGAGUUCCUAGAAAACUUAAUUUUGAAUAAGUUAAUCUUCUGAAUUUUCAAUCUAUACCAGUAUGGUGCUUUUUGUA
Molecule: non-coding RNA, 699 nt
Organism: Carica papaya (papaya)
Lineage: Eukaryota; Viridiplantae; Streptophyta; Magnoliopsida; Brassicales; Caricaceae
Source: RefSeq, a predicted model, not a curated record